This 1066-nucleotide non-coding RNA is filed under the name Talaromyces marneffei ATCC 18224. RNAcentral describes it as "Penicillium marneffei ATCC 18224 Bacterial small subunit ribosomal RNA". It matches the Rfam family "Bacterial small subunit ribosomal RNA", at positions 1 to 1197 of the family's 1533-position model. The record is from Rfam by way of RNAcentral. Lineage: Eukaryota; Fungi; Ascomycota; Eurotiomycetes; Eurotiales; Trichocomaceae.
UAUUUUUUGAGUUUGAUGAUGGCUCUGAUUGAACGCUGUCCAAGUACUUGACACAUGCUAAUCGUACGACUUUAUUUUUUUUUGUAAAGUAGUGGUGUACAGGUGAGUAAAUGAUAAUUUGGCUACCUUAAAGUAAGAGUAAAUCUCUUAUAAAAGAAAAGGAAAUCAAAAUUCUGCUUUAAGAUGUUAAUCUUUAUCUCGGUGAAGUAGUAGAAGAGGUAAUGUCUUUUUCUAGCUAACACUCGUAGUCGUGACUGAGAGGUCGAUCGACCACAUUGGGUCUGAAAAAACCCCAAUGCGUAUUAGUACAGCAGUGAGGGAUAUUGGUCAAUGGUCUAACGACUGAACCAGUAACUUGGAAGAAUGUAUGUAUUAUAAUUAAUACAAUAACGAUUAAUUCGUAUAAAAUUCUAAAUAGGAUAAUGAUAAUGACAAUUUCCUAUUUAUAAGUCUUGACCAAAUUACGUGCCAGCAGUCGCGGUAAUACGUAGAAGACUAGUGUUAGUCAUCUUUAUUAGGUUUAAAGGGUACCUAGACGGUAAAUAACACUUAAAUAGAGUAUUUAUUUACUAGAGUUUUAUAAGAGAAGGAAGAACUUCUGGAGUAGUGAUAAAAUAUGUUGAUACCAGAGGGACUGGUAACGGCGAAGGCAUCCUUCUAUGUAAAAACUGACGUUGAGGGACGAAGGCUUGGGUAGCAAUAAGGAUUAGAUACCCUAGUAGUCCAAGCAGAAAAUGAUGAAUGUCAUAGACUAGAUAAAAAUUUAGUCUAUAAAUGAAAGUGUAAGCAUUCCACCUCAAGAGUACUAUGGCAACAUAUAAACUGAAAUCAUUAGACCGUUUCUGAAACCAGUAGUGAAGUAUGUUAUUUAAUUCGAUAAUCCGCGAAUAACCUUACCACAAUUUGAAUAUAUUAAGUUAUUACAAGCGCUGCACGGCUGUCUUUAGUUAAUGUCGUGAGAUCUGGUUAACUCCUAAAAUUAACGAAAACCCUCAUUUUAUUUGUAUAUAUAAAGUGGUUCUCCAGUAUAGUGGAAAGAUAAAAGGGAUUAAGACAAGUCAUCAUG